AUUGAACGCUGGCGGCAUGCCUUACACAUGCAAGUCGAACGGCAGCACGGGUGCUUGCACCUGGUGGCGAGUGGCGAACGGGUGAGUAAUACAUCGGAACGUACCUUAUCGUGGGGGAUAACGCAGCGAAAGCUGUGCUAAUACCGCAUACGCCCUGAGGGGGAAAGCGGGGGAUCGCAAGACCUCGCGCGAUUAGAGCGGCCGAUGCCUGAUUAGCUUGUUGGUGGGGUAAAAGCCCACCAAGGCGACGAUCAGUAGCUGGUCUGAGAGGACGAGCAGCCACACUGGGACGGAGACACGGCCCAGACUCCAACGGGAGGCAGCAGUGGGGAAUUUUGGACAAUGGGGGCAACCCUGAUCCAGCAAUGCCGCGUGAGUGAAGAAGGCCUUCGGGUUGUAAAGCUCUUUUGUCAGGGAAGAAACACCGGCUCUAACACAGUCCGGGAAUGACGGUACCUGAAGAAUAAGCACCGGCUAACUACGUGCCAGCAGCCGCCGUAA
Molecule: ribosomal RNA, 501 nt
Filed under: uncultured bacterium
Lineage: Bacteria
Description: partial 16S ribosomal RNA
Rfam family: Bacterial small subunit ribosomal RNA
Source: RNAcentral